RNAcentral lists this ribosomal RNA (675 nucleotides) under uncultured Gammaproteobacteria bacterium. RNAcentral describes it as "bacterial SSU rRNA". It matches the Rfam family "Bacterial small subunit ribosomal RNA", at positions 44 to 715 of the family's 1533-position model. The record is from RNAcentral. Lineage: Bacteria; Pseudomonadati; Pseudomonadota; Gammaproteobacteria.
AUGCUUAACACAUGCAAGUCGAACGAUGAGAAAGAGCUUGCUCUUUCGAUUAGUGGCGGACGGGUGCGUAACGCGUAGGAAUCUGCCUAUUAGUGGGGGACAACUUAGGGAAACUUAAGCUAAUACCGCAUACGCCCUACGGGGGAAAGGAGGGGAUCGCAAGACCUUUCGCUAAUAGAUGAGCCUGCGUAGGAUUAGCUAGUUGGUGAGGUAAAGGCUCACCAAGGCGACGAUCCUUAACUGGUUUGAGAGAAUGAUCAGUCACACUGGAACUGAGACACGGUCCAGACUCCUACGGGAGGCAGCAGUGGGGAAUAUUGGACAAUGGGCGAAAGCCUGAUCCAGCAAUACCGCGUGUGUGAAGAAGGCCUUAGGGUUGUAAAGCACUUUCAAUUGGAAGGAAAAAUUCGUGGCUAAUAUCUACGAACUUGACAUUACCUUUAGAAGAAGCACCGGCUAACUCCGUGCCAGCAGCCGCGGUAAUACGGAGGGUGCAAGCGUUAAUCGGAAUUACUGGGCGUAAAGCGUGCGUAGGCGGCUCGUUAAGUCAGAUGUGAAAGCCCUGGGCUCAACCUGGGAACUGCAUUUGAAACUGGCGAGCUAGAGUUUGAGAGAGGUAAGUGGAAUUUCAGGUGUAGCGGUGAAAUGCGUAGAGAUCGGAAGGAACACCAGUGG